UGGGGAAUUUUGGACAAUGGGCGAAAGCCUGAUCCAGCAAUGCCGCGUGUGUGAAGAAGGCCUUCGGGUUGUAAAGCACUUUUGUCCGGAAAGAAAUCCUCUGGGUUAAUACCUCGGGGGGUAUGACGGUACCGGAAGAAUAAGCACCGGCUAACUACGUGCCAGCAGCCGCGGUAAUACGUAGGGUGCAAGCGUUAAUCGGAAUUACUGGGCGUAAAGCGUGCGCAGGCGGUUUUGUAAGACGGAUGUGAAAUCCCCGGGCUUAACCUGGGAACUGCAUUCGUGACUGCAAGGCUAGAGUAUGGCAGAGGGGGGUUAGAAUUGCCACGUGUAGCAGUGAAAUGCGUAGAGAUGUGGAGGAAUACCGAUGGCGAAGGCAGCCCCCUGGGCCAAGUACUGACGCUCAUGCACGAAA
RNAcentral lists this ribosomal RNA (415 nucleotides) under uncultured bacterium. RNAcentral's name for it is "partial 16S ribosomal RNA". It matches the Rfam family "Bacterial small subunit ribosomal RNA", at positions 355 to 758 of the family's 1533-position model. The record is from RNAcentral.